Long non-coding RNA from Mauremys mutica (yellowpond turtle), 522 nucleotides. RefSeq lists it as uncharacterized. The record is from RefSeq and is a predicted model, not a curated record. The transcript is spliced from 3 exons. NCBI's taxonomy places the organism in Eukaryota, Metazoa, Chordata, Testudines, Geoemydidae.
CUUGGUGACGUAAUCCGCAGCCUACUGGACAGGCGUGUAUCUACAGCCGGGGAUGCUGGAGACAGUGCUGCGGGCUUCGGCGCGCAUGCGCUUAGGGCUGCUGGCGCUGGGCUGGAGGAGAGCUGCUCCAGGGAGCGCGGUGUGCGAGGGAGUGAGGAGGAGUGGCAGCAGGCAGCAUUCCCGACAGACUACAAUCCUCUUGGGGAGUGAAGGUCCCACUCUUUGAUGGUUCUCUGGAGAAUCCACUUACAGGUACUGGAAGCGGAACAGGAAGGAAUAAACUAAAGAUCGUAAGCAAUUUGAGGGCAAGGACUGUCUUUUUUGCAGAACAUUGUACAGUGCCUAGCACCACGGGUUCCAAUCUUCGAUUAAGGCCACUAGGUGCUGCUGCAAUACGAUUAUUAAACAACGACAAUUGCUACAUGCUUCACAUACUGGGACGAGAACUAGAUGAAGAAUAUGAAUCAGCCUGAAAUGUUGUUCUGCUCUGAGCUGUGACUCAGUAAACUGCUACUGGGGAAG